GCAGGGCUGCAUCCUGAUGUGGGACCCUCAGGGAUGGUGGAUGGUGCAAGUGUACCCCCACACUGGCAUUCACCCUCUCUCCACAGGCGAUUUCUUCCGGGGGCUGUGGGGCCCUCGUGCCGGCUGGGCACAGGCAGUCCUGUUCUGUGCUGACCUCCGCAAAGGCCAGAAGUCAGCCGGCAGCCAGCAUCAGGCCUGGGAGAGCUGAGGCUGGGACAGCCAUGGGGGUGGGCCCCUUUAAGGACACCCCAAAAGGAACAGUGACUUGAGUGGGACACUGCACCUGCUGCCAGCCUGGCAUGGAGGGGUGUGGACAGCUGCCUGUCACCUGUCCACUGUGUGCCUGGGGGAAGCUGGGGGUCAGGGCUGUGUCCAGCUCCCUCAGUGCAGAGCUGAGCCAAGCACCUUUGGCCUCUUGCCUUUAUUACAAGCAAUAAAAUAGAAACAUCCAUUUGGAAAA
This is a non-coding RNA of Cyanistes caeruleus (blue tit), 460 nucleotides long. The record is from RefSeq and is a predicted model, not a curated record. Lineage: Eukaryota; Metazoa; Chordata; Aves; Passeriformes; Paridae.